This 73-nucleotide transfer RNA is filed under the name Aedes aegypti (yellow fever mosquito). It matches the Rfam family "tRNA". From Rfam's summary of the family: Transfer RNA (tRNA) molecules are approximately 80 nucleotides in length. Their secondary structure includes four short double-helical elements and three loops (D, anti-codon, and T loops). Further hydrogen bonds mediate the characteristic L-shaped molecular structure. tRNAs have two regions of fundamental functional importance: the anti-codon, which is responsible for specific mRNA codon recognition, and the 3' end, to which the tRNAs corresponding amino acid is attached (by aminoacyl-tRNA synthetases). tRNAs cope with the degeneracy of the genetic code in two manners: having more than one tRNA (with a specific anti-codon) for a particular amino acid; and 'wobble' base-pairing, i.e. permitting non-standard base-pairing at the 3rd anti-codon position. Lineage: Eukaryota; Metazoa; Arthropoda; Insecta; Diptera; Culicidae. The record is from Rfam by way of RNAcentral.
CCUCUCAUGGCGUAGUGGUAACGCGCCCCAACUAGAGAUCGGGGAGUCGUUAGUUCGAUUCUCACUGAGAGGA